Molecule: ribosomal RNA, 484 nt
Filed under: uncultured bacterium
Lineage: Bacteria
Description: partial 16S ribosomal RNA
Rfam family: Bacterial small subunit ribosomal RNA
Source: RNAcentral
AUUGAACGCUGGCGGAAUGCUUUACACAUGCAAGUCGAACGGCAGCACGGGGGCAGCCCUGGUGGCGAGUGGCGAACGGGUGAGUAAUACAUCGGAACGUGCCCGGUCGUGGGGGAUAACGUAGCGAAAGUUACGCUAAUACCGCAUACGAUCUGAGGAUGAAAGCGGGGGACCUUCGGGCCUCGCGCGAUCGGAGCGGCCGAUGUCAGAUUAGGUAGUUGGUGGGGUGAAGGCCUACCAAGCCGACGAUCUGUAGCUGGUCUGAGAGGACGACCAGCCACACUGGGACUGAGACACGGCCCAGACUCCUACGGGAGGCAGCAGUGGGGAAUUUUGGACAAUGGGCGCAAGCCUGAUCCAGCCAUGCCGCGUGCAGGACGAAGGCCUUCGGGUUGUAAACUGCUUUUGUACGGAACGAAAAGGCUCUGGCUAAUACCUGGGGCUCAUGACGGUACCGUAAGAAUAAGCACCGGCUAACUACGUG